RNAcentral lists this ribosomal RNA (253 nucleotides) under uncultured bacterium. Its description in RNAcentral is "partial 16S ribosomal RNA". It matches the Rfam family "Bacterial small subunit ribosomal RNA", at positions 524 to 776 of the family's 1533-position model. The record is from RNAcentral.
UACGUAGGUGGCAAGCGUUGUCCGGAAUUAUUGGGCGUAAAGCGCGCGCAGGCGGUCCUUUAAGUCUGAUGUGAAAGCCCACGGCUCAACCGUGGAGGGUCAUUGGAAACUGGGGGACUUGAGUGCAGAAGAGGAAAGCGGAAUUCCACGUGUAGCGGUGAAAUGCGUAGAGAUGUGGAGGAACACCAGUGGCGAAGGCGGCUUUCUGGUCUGUAACUGACGCUGAGGCGCGAAAGUGUUGGGAGCAAACAGG